CAUUAACAAGCACUGGGAGUUGUGCCUAUUUUUAAGUGACCUCUUAUUUAACAUGUAAUCCUAUAGCUUUGCUAACCUAUGUGUUAAAUUAUUUUGUUGCUUUUUGAAAUAUUACAGACCCAUAUUUUUCUGUUAGUAUGUUUUAUUAGAAAUCUGCUAGAUAGAUGCUCUGUAUCUAUUCUCUACCAACAGUUCAUGAGUACAGCCAUACUUACAGACCAGUCUGAACAAAAUGCAAGGCAAAACUAUUAAGAUGAUUCUGUCCCCAGGCAGCUCACAAACUAGUUCAUACACAAACUCCGUUGGCUUAUUUCUAACUAGGAGUCAGAAAUCUAACACAGUUUAAUAACAUAUGUGAGCACAAAGAAACAUUUUACUGAUAAAACAUUCACUCAAAUUACCCAUUAUAAACAAGGGGAAAAUUUUAUCCUCUUUCCUUUAUAUUUAAUUUAACAGUUUGCAUAAUUUUGUUUCCAUUAUAUUCUGUUACAGCUAAUAGUAUUAUUUGCUUCCCAUUUGUUUUUGCUUCCUGCUGUUGAAUGAACAAUCAGUAUUUACAGAUUAGCAGCAGUUGUAAAGUGCCCUGACUUUCUCUUCCAUUUCAAAGUUACAAGUGAGAAGCGCAUUAUAUUAGUUGCUCUGGCAUUUUUGGAGUAGCUUAGGCAUUCACAGUGCAAACCACUGUUAUUCAUACUGUUAUAAUUCCUCUGCAGUUAAGUCAUUACUAGCAAUCAGAGCAGGCUUGUAGUACAAUUCCUUUUUUGGGAAUGUCAUGUGAGAUGCCCAGAGCAAUAUGAAAAAAAUAAAGGCCAACUUGUCUGGCUGUGGAGGGAUUUAUAGCAGGCCCACUGGCAGAGAUCUGCUGGGAAGUAUUAAGAGCUCCUGCUUAGCUGAUCAUAUAAACACCCAAUCCAGCAGGAUGCCAUCUCUUCUCUCAAACUCAUCCUGGUUAUUUCUUGAACACUUUACACUGCGAGAAAAUAAAACAGUACUCAGAAAAAUUAAGUUUCUCUUGGUUUAG
RNAcentral lists this long non-coding RNA (1021 nucleotides) under Coturnix japonica (Japanese quail). Its description in RNAcentral is "lncRNA (ENSCJPG00005003404.1)". The record is from RNAcentral. Lineage: Eukaryota; Metazoa; Chordata; Aves; Galliformes; Phasianidae.